CCAAAGACGAAGAACAAGACAAGCCGCUUUGAGGCGUUUCAGAGACUUUCCGGAGGGUGCGAGGAAAGACACAAUCAAAGGGGAUAUCACUUGGGAGUCGCGUUUCCGAUAUGUAGGGGACGCCGGUCACACCGUUAUCGUGUCGAGGUGCGGUCCGUUUGGACCGAACUAAGGUGGUACCGCGUUAUUUACGUCCUUAGC
RNAcentral lists this non-coding RNA (201 nucleotides) under Bacillota bacterium. RNAcentral describes it as "Firmicutes bacterium T-box sequence". It matches the Rfam family "T-box leader". Rfam says of the family: Uncharged tRNA acts as the effector for transcription antitermination of genes in the T-box leader family. T-boxes are found upstream of many aminoacyl-tRNA synthetase genes and some amino acid biosynthetic genes usually in Gram-positive bacteria. Lineage: Bacteria; Bacillati; Bacillota. The record is from RNAcentral.